This 1371-nucleotide ribosomal RNA is filed under the name Streptomyces caelestis. RNAcentral's name for it is "16S ribosomal RNA". It matches the Rfam family "Bacterial small subunit ribosomal RNA", at positions 80 to 1449 of the family's 1533-position model. Lineage: Bacteria; Bacillati; Actinomycetota; Actinomycetes; Kitasatosporales; Streptomycetaceae. The record is from RNAcentral.
CUUCGGUGGGGAUUAGUGGCGAACGGGUGAGUAACACGUGGGCAAUCUGCCCUGCACUCUGGGACAAGCCCUGGAAACGGGGUCUAAUACCGGAUACUGAUCAUCUUGGGCAUCCAAGGUGUUCGAAAGCUCCGGCGGUGCAGGAUGAGCCCGCGGCCUAUCAGCUUGUUGGUGAGGUAAUGGCUCACCAAGGCGACGACGGGUAGCCGGCCUGAGAGGGCGACCGGCCACACUGGGACUGAGACACGGCCCAGACUCCUACGGGAGGCAGCAGUGGGGAAUAUUGCACAAUGGGCGAAAGCCUGAUGCAGCGACGCCGCGUGAGGGAUGACGGCCUUCGGGUUGUAAACCUCUUUCAGCAGGGAAGAAGCGAAAGUGACGGUACCUGCAGAAGAAGCGCCGGCUAACUACGUGCCAGCAGCCGCGGUAAUACGUAGGGCGCGAGCGUUGUCCGGAAUUAUUGGGCGUAAAGAGCUCGUAGGCGGCUUGUCACGUCGGUUGUGAAAGCCCGGGGCUUAACCCCGGGUCUGCAGUCGAUACGGGCAGGCUAGAGUUCGGUAGGGGAGAUCGGAAUUCCUGGUGUAGCGGUGAAAUGCGCAGAUAUCAGGAGGAACACCGGUGGCGAAGGCGGAUCUCUGGGCCGAUACUGACGCUGAGGAGCGAAAGCGUGGGGAGCGAACAGGAUUAGAUACCCUGGUAGUCCACGCCGUAAACGGUGGGCACUAGGUGUGGGCAACAUUCCACGUUGUCCGUGCCGCAGCUAACGCAUUAAGUGCCCCGCCUGGGGAGUACGGCCGCAAGGGCUAAACUAAUACUCAACGGAGUAGUCGGGGGCCCGCACAAGCGGCGGAGCAUCUGGUGUAAUUAGACGCAGCGCGAAGAACCUCCUCAAGGCGUGACAUCCUCCGGAAAACCCUGGAGACAGGGUCCCCCUCGUGGUCGGUGUACAGCAGGUGCAUGGCUGUCGUCAGCACGUGUCGUGAGAUGUUGGGUUAAGUCCUGCAACGAGGGCAACCCUUGUUCCGUGUUGCCAGCAACCCCCCUCGGGGGUGUUGGGGACUCACGGGAGACCGCCGGGGUCAACUCGGAGGAAGGUGGGGACGACGUCAAGUCAUCAUGCCCCUUAUGUCUUGGGCUGCACACGUGCUACAAUGGCCGGUACAAUGAGCUGCGAUACCGCGAGGUGGAGCGAAUCUCAAAAAGCCGGUCUCAGUUCGGAUUGGGGUCUGCAACUCGACCCCAUGAAGUCGGAGUCGCUAGUAAUCGCAGAUCAGCAUUGCUGCGGUGAAUACGUUCCCGGGCCUUGUACACACCGCCCGUCACGUCACGAAAGUCGGUAACACCCGAAGCCGGGGUCCAACCCCNNGGAGG